Molecule: ribosomal RNA, 705 nt
Filed under: uncultured bacterium
Lineage: Bacteria
Description: bacterial SSU rRNA
Rfam family: Bacterial small subunit ribosomal RNA
Source: RNAcentral
AGAGUUUGAUCUGGCUCAGAUUGAACGCUAGCGGGAUGCCUUACACAUGCAAGUCGAACGGCAGCACGGACUUCGGUCUGGUGGCGAGUGGCGAACGGGUGAGUAAUGUAUCGGAACGUGCCCAGUAGCGGGGGAUAACUACGCGAAAGCGUAGCUAAUACCGCAUACGCCCUACGGGGGAAAGCAGGGGAUCGCAAGACCUUGCACUAUUGGAGCGGCCGAUAUCGGAUUAGCUAGUUGGUGGGGUAACGGCUCACCAAGGCGACGAUCCGUAGCUGGUUUGAGAGGACGACCAGCCACACUGGGACUGAGACACGGCCCAGACUCCUACGGGAGGCAGCAGUGGGGAAUUUUGGACAAUGGGGGAAACCCUGAUCCAGCCAUCCCGCGUGUGCGAUGAAGGCCUUCGGGUUGUAAAGCACUUUUGGCAGGAAAGAAACGUCGUGGGUUAAUACCCCGCGAAACUGACGGUACCUGCAGAAUAAGCACCGGCUAACUACGUGCCAGCAGCCGCGGUAAUACGUAGGGUGCAAGCGUUAAUCGGAAUUACUGGGCGUAAAGCGUGCGCAGGCGGUUCGGAAAGAAAGAUGUGAAAUCCCAGAGCUUAACUUUGGAACUGCAUUUUUAACUACCGGGCUAGAGUGUGUCAGAGGGAGGUGGAAUUCCGCGUGUAGCAGUGAAAUGCGUAGAGAUGUGGAGGAACAC